This 576-nucleotide unclassified non-coding RNA is filed under the name Hevea brasiliensis (rubber tree). Lineage: Eukaryota; Viridiplantae; Streptophyta; Magnoliopsida; Malpighiales; Euphorbiaceae. The record is from RNAcentral.
UGAUUGACUUGUUCAUGUGUCUAAGCAACAUGACUGUACAAAACACAGCAUUGCAGUAUCUAUUGAGAAAAUAGUAGUUUUUGAUAGUAUGAUUGGCUUAAUCCUUUAUAUUGCAUGAUAUGCCCUAACUUUAUAGAUGGUGUAUUAGUGUAGUACAAAAAUAUGGUGAGAUGCAUUUUUUUUUCUUAUGAAGUGGUGCUAAGAAUGCCAUUUUUUUUCCUUAUUUUUGGCUUUUGAAAAUUUUUUUAGUGGAUCAUGCAGUUGGCUGUAUAUAUUUAGGGAAAUGUGAUUCUGUUUUUAUACUGAACUUAAUAUUUUAGAAAUAUAUGGAUUAAAAAUAGUACAUCAUGUAAAUAUAAGUUAGGUUACCUCCGAGAGUUAUGAAGGCACUUGUGUGUUUGCUAGUUUAAAUUCUUGCAAGAUUUGUCUUGUACUAAAGUGACCAAUUUAAUUUUUUUGGUCUUGUUCAGGACAUGAUUCACGUAAUCGAAUCAAAACCAUUGAAGCGGUAUGGUGAUUACUUUUUGCGGCAAAUUGUCAAGCUUGAAGGGGUGAUAAAUGAUAUGGAUCGGAUAA